UUACAUGCAGUGCUGGGGCAACUAAAACUCUGAGUUCUGUUAGCAUCAAAGUUUUUUACCCUGGCUCAGCAUGGA
This 75-nucleotide microRNA precursor is filed under the name Branchiostoma floridae (Florida lancelet). Its description in RNAcentral is "mir-4872 microRNA precursor family". It matches the Rfam family "mir-4872 microRNA precursor family". Lineage: Eukaryota; Metazoa; Chordata; Leptocardii; Amphioxiformes; Branchiostomatidae. The record is from Rfam by way of RNAcentral.